AGCUCCAAUAGCGUAUAUUAAAGUUGUUGCAGUUAAAAAGCUCGUAGUUGGAGUUCAGGGUGAGCUCAACUGGUCGGCCUCAGGGUCAGAACUGGUUGACUCUCUCUUGUUUGUGGAUUCCGCCCGGAGUUAACUCUUCGGAUGUGAAGUCCACAUCGUUUACCUUGAAAAAAUUAGAGUGUUCAAAGCAGGCGUUUGCUUGAAUAUAUUAGCAUGGAAUAAUGGAAUAGGACGCUGGUUCUAUUUUGUUGGUUUUGAGAACCAGAGUAAUGAUUAAUAGGGACAGUUGGGGGCAUUCAUAUUUCAUUGACAGAGGUGAAAUUCUUGGAUUUAUGAAAGAUGAACUUCUGCGAAAGCAUUUGCCAAGGAUGUUUUCA
Molecule: ribosomal RNA, 377 nt
Filed under: uncultured eukaryote
Lineage: Eukaryota
Description: SSU rRNA
Rfam family: Eukaryotic small subunit ribosomal RNA
Source: RNAcentral